CGUCGGGGUCCAUAAGCAGCCGCUUCCUGCUUCCGGGGACAGAGAAGCAGAGGUUUCUAAGAAAGGUUUAAGAAAGAGAGAAUUUCGAUCGAGAGAGAGAGAGAGAGAGAGACCUGGAAUUCUGGGAAAUGGGUAACGACGGCGGCGGCUGCUGCAUGUAAGAUGGAUCGGCUCUUCGAAAGAGAGAGGGGAACGGCUCGGCCAGCAAGCAGUGGCUUAAGCUUAGCAGCUUGGGUGGUUUAAAAGAUCGGGUUUUGGGUUGGGUUGGGUUGGUUUGGUUUUGGGUUUGAUUUGUUAACUGUAAUCUGUUUUAUAGGGAGAGAGAGAGAGAGAGAGAGAG
Molecule: unclassified non-coding RNA, 340 nt
Filed under: Hevea brasiliensis (rubber tree)
Lineage: Eukaryota; Viridiplantae; Streptophyta; Magnoliopsida; Malpighiales; Euphorbiaceae
Source: RNAcentral